Molecule: ribosomal RNA, 253 nt
Filed under: uncultured bacterium
Lineage: Bacteria
Description: partial 16S ribosomal RNA
Rfam family: Bacterial small subunit ribosomal RNA
Source: RNAcentral
UACGGGGGGGGCAAGCGUUGUUCGGAAUUACUGGGCGUAAAGGGCUCGUAGGCGGCCAACUAAGUCGGAUGUGAAAUCCCCAGGCUUAACCUGGGAACUGCAUCCGAUACUGGUUGGCUUGAAUCCGGGAGAGGGAUGCAGAAUUCCAGGUGUAGCGGUGAAAUGCGUAGAUAUCUGGAGGAACACCGGUGGCGAAGGCGGCAUCCUGGACCGACACUGACGCUGAGGCGCGAAAGCUAGGGUAGCAAACGGG